UUGUCUCAAAGAUUAAGCCAUGCAUGUCUCAGUACAAGCCAAAUUAAGGUGAAACCGCGAAAGGCUCAUUAAAUCAGUUAUGGUUCCUUAGAUCGUACCCACAAUUACUUGGAUAACUGUGGUAAUUCUAGAGCUAAUACAUGCAAACAGAGCUCCGACCGGAGACGGAAGGAGUGCUUUUAUUAGAUCAAAACCAAUCGGUGGCGGUUGGUGACUCUGAAUAACUUUACGCUGAUCGCACGGUCUCGCACCGGCGACGCAUCUUUCAAAUGUCUGCCUUAUCAACUGUCGAUGGUAGGUUCUGCGCCUACCAUGGUUGUAACGGGUAACGGGGAAUCAGGGUUCGAUUCCGGAGAGGGAGCCUGAGAAACGGCUACCACAUCCAAGGAAGGCAGCAGGCGCGCAAAUUACCCACUCCCGGCACGGGGAGGUAGUGACGAAAAAUAACGAUACGGGACUCAUCCGAGGCCCCGUAAUCGGAAUGAGUACACUCUAAACCCUUUAACGAGGAUCAAUUGGAGGGCAAGUCUGGUGCCAGCAGCCGCGGUA
RNAcentral lists this ribosomal RNA (549 nucleotides) under Phytoscaphus sp. ARC3524. Its description in RNAcentral is "SSU rRNA". It matches the Rfam family "Eukaryotic small subunit ribosomal RNA", at positions 32 to 581 of the family's 1831-position model. Lineage: Eukaryota; Metazoa; Arthropoda; Insecta; Coleoptera; Curculionidae. The record is from RNAcentral.